UACAGAGGUCUCAAGCGUUGUUCGGAUUCAUUGGGCGUAAAGGGUGCGUAGGUGGCGCGAUAAGUCGGGUGUGAAAUCUCGGAGCUUAACUCCGAAAUUGCAUUCGAUACUGCCGUGCUCGAGGACUGGAGAGGAGACUGGAAUUCAUGGUGUAGCAGUGAAAUGCGUAGAGAUCAUGAGGAAGACCAGUGGCGAAGGCGGCCAACUGGUCCGGUACUGACGCUGAGGUGCGAAAGCGUGGGGAGCAAACAGG
This 253-nucleotide ribosomal RNA is filed under the name uncultured bacterium. RNAcentral's name for it is "partial 16S ribosomal RNA". It matches the Rfam family "Bacterial small subunit ribosomal RNA", at positions 524 to 776 of the family's 1533-position model. The record is from RNAcentral.